This 440-nucleotide ribosomal RNA is filed under the name uncultured bacterium. RNAcentral describes it as "bacterial SSU rRNA". It matches the Rfam family "Bacterial small subunit ribosomal RNA", at positions 338 to 790 of the family's 1533-position model. The record is from RNAcentral.
CCUACGGGUGGCAGCAGUGGGGAAUAUUGCACAAUGGGCGGAAGCCUGAUGCAGCAACGCCGCGUGCGGGAUGACGGCCUUCGGGUUGUAAACCGCUUUCGCCUGUGACGAAGCGUGAGUGACGGUAAUGGGUAAAGAAGCACCGGCUAACUACGUGCCAGCAGCCGCGGUGAUACGUAGGGUGCGAGCGUUGUCCGGAUUUAUUGGGCGUAAAGGGCUCGUAGGUGGUUGAUCGCGUCGGAAGUGUAAUCUUGGGGCUUAACCCUGAGCGUGCUUUCGAUACGGGUUGACUUGAGGAAGGUAGGGGAGAAUGGAAUUCCUGGUGGAGCGGUGGAAUGCGCAGAUAUCAGGAGGAACACCAGUGGCGAAGGCGGUUCUCUGGGCCUUUCCUGACGCUGAGGAGCGAAAGCGUGGGGAGCGAACAGGCUUAGAUACCCUGG